UUUAACUUGGCAGAUAAAUGCGCUUGAUUUAGAAUCAAUUUAUAACUUUUGUUAGUUUCAAAA
Molecule: transfer RNA, 63 nt
Filed under: Pseudosuccinea columella
Lineage: Eukaryota; Metazoa; Mollusca; Gastropoda; Lymnaeidae
Description: tRNA-Leu
Source: RNAcentral